Molecule: transfer RNA, 105 nt
Filed under: Thermochaetoides thermophila DSM 1495
Lineage: Eukaryota; Fungi; Ascomycota; Sordariomycetes; Sordariales; Chaetomiaceae
Description: Chaetomium thermophilum var. thermophilum DSM 1495 tRNA
Rfam family: tRNA
About the family: Transfer RNA (tRNA) molecules are approximately 80 nucleotides in length. Their secondary structure includes four short double-helical elements and three loops (D, anti-codon, and T loops).
Source: Rfam by way of RNAcentral
GGGCGUGUAGCUCAUUUGGUAGAGCGCUCGCUUAGCAUCUCUUCGAGACCAUCAAAAGGGCUAUCUUAAUGCGAGAGGUACUGGGUUCGAUUCCCAGCUCGUCCA